GUCUACGGCCAUGCUACCUCGAACAAGCCUGAUCCCAUCUAAUCUCGGAAGCUAAGCAGGGUCGGGCCUGGUUAGUACUUGGAUGGGAGACCACCUAGGAAGACCAGGUGCUGCAGGCA
Molecule: ribosomal RNA, 119 nt
Filed under: Pteropus alecto (black flying fox)
Lineage: Eukaryota; Metazoa; Chordata; Mammalia; Chiroptera; Pteropodidae
Source: RNAcentral